AACGAACGCUGGCGGCAUGCCUAACACAUGCAAGUCGAACGAGAAGUUCGGGUCUAGGGGCGCACGGGUGCGGAAGGCGGGGGAAGCUGCCCUUAGGUACGGAAUAACUCCCCGAAAGGGGUGCUAAGAAAGGUUAAUGUCUUCGGACCAAAGAUUUAUCGCCGUUGGAUGGGCCCGGGUUGGAUUAGCUGGUUGGUAGGGUAAAAGCGUACCAAGGCGACGAUGCAUAGCUGGUCUGGGAGGAUGAUCAGGCACACUGGGACUGAGACACGGCCCAGACUCCUACGGAAGGCAGCAGUGGGGAAUAUUGGACGAUGGGCGAGAGCCUGAUCCAGCAGUGCCGCGUAAGUGAUGAAGGCCUUAGGGUUGUAAAUCUCUUUUACCCGGGAUGAUAAUGACGGUACCGGGAGAAUAAGCUCCGGCUAACUCCGUG
RNAcentral lists this ribosomal RNA (433 nucleotides) under uncultured bacterium. RNAcentral describes it as "partial 16S ribosomal RNA". It matches the Rfam family "Bacterial small subunit ribosomal RNA", at positions 29 to 507 of the family's 1533-position model. The record is from RNAcentral.